This 320-nucleotide ribosomal RNA is filed under the name uncultured Prevotella sp. Its description in RNAcentral is "partial 16S ribosomal RNA". Lineage: Bacteria; Pseudomonadati; Bacteroidota; Bacteroidia; Bacteroidales; Prevotellaceae. The record is from RNAcentral.
GGAGUUUGGUCCGUGUCUCAGUACCAAUGUGGGGGACCUUCCUCUCAGAACCCCUACUGAUCGUCGCCUUGGUGGGCCGUUACCCCGCCAACUGGCUAAUCAGACGCAUCCCCAUCCCUUACCGAUGAAUCUUUACUCCUCGUUAGAUGUCCGCGAAGGAGACCAUCAGGUAUUAAUUCGCCUUUCGGCGGGCUAUCCCUGAGUGAUGGGAAGGUUGGAUACGCGUUACUCACCCGUGCGCCGGUCGCCAUCUAUCAAAGCAAGCUUCGAUAAUGCUGCCCCUCGACUUGCAUGUGUUAAGCCUGUAGCUAGCGUUCAUC